RNA transcript from Panicum virgatum (switchgrass), 1727 nucleotides. It is a transcript of the gene named armadillo repeat-containing protein 6-like, with no coding region annotated. The record is from RefSeq and is a predicted model, not a curated record. Lineage: Eukaryota; Viridiplantae; Streptophyta; Magnoliopsida; Poales; Poaceae. The transcript has 8 exons.
AGCAAAGUAGCAAACCCUUCGUUCUAUUCAGCACUGGCCGCCUCGGCAGCACCCAAACCCACACACAGAGCAAGGAAAUGGCGAUCGCGAUCUCGCAGGAGGCCUUCGACGCCAUGGUCCGGGAGAACAUGGAGGACCUCGGCAUGGACGCCGAUGAGGCUCUUGCCGACGCCGUCGAAGCCCUCACUCUCCAGGGCGAUGAUCUGUCCGGGAUCAUCGAGCGCGUGCCUGGAGAGGCCGCCGCAGCGGAGGUGAGCCCUGUGGUGCGGCUGCUGGACGAACUGAAGGCCUCUCACAGCGCCAGUGGCGGGUCGGGGCAGGAUCUCGACGGGUUGGUCUCUCUUAUCGAUGAGUUGCGCGGCCUGUGCAGCUCCGGAGAGGGAUCGGAGAAUGCAGCGGUUGCGGUGCGGAAUGGCGGUGUCGAGGCGCUCGUCGCCCUGUGCGGGUCGGCUCGAGUUGCCCAGGAGAGGCUGCUUGUGUCGGCCUUAAAGGCUCUGAGCUCCGUGCUCCGUGAUGUUGGAAGCACCGAAAAGUUCAGACAAAGUGAGGGGCCCAAAAUUGUCAUGGAUAUCUUGAAAGGAUGCUCAGAAAGUUCAGAUUUACUGGAUGCUGGAUUUAGUGUUGUGGCAGCAGGUUCUGCUGGCAAUGAAGUUGUGAAAGAAUCCUUUAUGGACUUAAAGGUUGAUGAACUCAUUCUACAUGUUAUGAGGGAGAAAUAAAAAACUAAUGUGCAGAGCUUGUAUGAUGCCAUACGUGUUCUGUUGACGCCUGAUGACAACCGAGUGGUGGCUUCUCAAGUAUAUGGAUACUCCCGGAGAUUUGCAGAAAUUGGGAUGGCAGAAGUUCUUGUCAGUGCACUUCGUGAACAAGUUGCUCCUUCCAGCUUGCUAUCUGCUUGUGCUGCUUUAAAGUCAAUCGCUGUCAAUGAUGAAAUAUGUCAUUCAAUAUCUGAAAAUGGUGGAAUCAAUGUGCUGCUUCAAUGCAUUGAUGAGGCUGGUCAACAGAAGAACAAAGUUAUUGCAAGAUCUUGCUGUUCUCUGUUGUCAAAGCUGGCUGCGAGUGAUGCAAACAAGUCUGUUAUCAUCCAGCGAGGUGGUUUUGACAGAUUCUUACAGCUGACUUCCAGAUUUUCUGAAGAUCCUUCUAUAAUACAAGAGGUGAUGUCCAUGGUAACGGUUCUUACAUUGAGAUCGCCGGAAAAUGCAGCACGUGCAAUGGAAGUAGGCUAUGGAACUCUGGCGAUCCAGGCAUUGCAAAGGUUCCCCUCCUCCGGCCAGACUCAGAAGCAAGCUUGCCUUAUGAUUCGUAAUCUUGUCCGAAACCCUGAGAACAGGACCAUCCUACUUAACGAUGGUGCAGAGAAGCUUAUUAGAAAGGCCAAGGUGAUGCAUGGAGGCUGCAAAGAUGCUGCCUCGUCAGCCUUGAGGGACCUGGGCUUGGACAAGUACAACGCAUAGACACCAUACGAAGUAUACGUUGUGUUAAGUUUGGCCAUGGUAGAAUGUUUUGUAGAAUUGUGUUAAGUUAUGGUGACACGAUGGAAUGAGUUUGUAGAAUUGUUCUACCGUGCUUGCAUCUGUAACUAGGCCCCAGUUUUGUGUGAGCCCAACUGCAGGGCUGCAUGAUACUACUAGCUAGCAGAGGUGUUUUGUUUAAAGAAUCACCUCGCCAAGAAUGGAAUGGUCCAUCAUGAAGUCAACGUAUGAAAUUUGGUGCUUGUGGGAUGA